CAGUAGNUAUCCUGUGUUUGNNUUACUNCAGAUANCCCGGUAAUUGUGCAGCAGCGCGUAUCAGAGGGGCAANGNUAUUGGAUUACUGGGUAAAGCNGGUAGUGGUCUGUUAAGUUGGANUGAAGCCCGGACUCAACCUGGGAANUGCANCCAGAUCUGGCGAGCUAGANUACGGUAGAGGUGGUNGAAUUUCCUGUUAGCGGUGAAUGNGUAGAUAUUGGAAGGAACUCCAGUGGCGAAGGCGACCACUUGGACUGAUUCUGACAGUGAAGUGCGAAAGCGUGGGGAGCCAACAGGAUUAGAUUCCCUGGUAGUUCCCGCCGUAAACGAUGUUAACUAGCCGUUGGAAUCCUUGAGAUUUUAGUGGCGCAGGUAACGCAUUAAGUAGCCGCCUGGGGAGNUCGGCUGCAAGGUUAAAACUNAAAUAAUUNACGGGGGCCCGCACAAGCGGGGGAGCAUGUGGUUUAAUUUGAAGCAACGGGAAGAACCUUUCCAGGCCUUGACAAGCAGAGAACUUUCCAGAGAAGGAUUGGUGCCUUUGGGAAAUCUGACACAGGUGGUGCAUGGCUGUUGUCAGCUUGUGUUGUGAGAAGUUGGGUUAAGUCCCGUAACGAGCGCAACCCUUGUCCUUAGUUACCAGCCAGUUAUGGUGGGCACUUUAAGGAGACUGCCGGUGACAAACCGGAGGAAGGUGGGGAUGACGUCAAGUCAUCAUGGCCCUUACGGCCUGGGCUACACACGUGCUACAAUGGUCGGUACAAAGGGUUGCCAAGCCGCGAGGUGGAGCUAAUCUCACAAAACCGAUCGUAGUCCGGAUCGCAGUCUGCAACUCGACUGCGUGAAGUCGGAAUCGCUAGUAAUCGCGAAUCAGAAUGUCGCGGUGAAUACGUUCCCGGGCCUUGUACACACCGCCCG
Molecule: ribosomal RNA, 915 nt
Filed under: Pseudomonas putida
Lineage: Bacteria; Pseudomonadati; Pseudomonadota; Gammaproteobacteria; Pseudomonadales; Pseudomonadaceae
Description: bacterial SSU rRNA
Rfam family: Bacterial small subunit ribosomal RNA
Source: RNAcentral